Molecule: long non-coding RNA, 675 nt
Organism: Gossypium raimondii (Peruvian cotton)
Lineage: Eukaryota; Viridiplantae; Streptophyta; Magnoliopsida; Malvales; Malvaceae
Exons: 4
Source: RefSeq, a predicted model, not a curated record
CUUUUCUUCACUGUUUAUUUCUUGGAGGUUUCUUUCUUUCCUUUUGUUAAUUCUUGUUGCUAGUGGUUCGUCGUAUGAAUUACGUUUGACUCUCUGUUUUCGAUCAGAAGACAAUAAAGGCGCGAAGGUUGUGAAAAUCGAAUACCUCUAGUGGAGUAAUUCUCGAAGUAAUUCUCAAUUUGGACGUUGCUUUUUGAGUGGAUUCGUGCGUUCCUCUAGAGCAACUGAUCAAAUCUGCCAUCACCUAUGUGAAACUAGCCGAUUUAUCGCUUGAAACUCGAGAAAAAUACGAAAUAGGGGUUGUUUUCGAAACUGCCCAACACCACAUUGCCAUGUGGUAGACUGAGUGUGAUUUUGCAACCCCUAUGGGUAGGCCGUGUGGGGCACACAGCCGUGUGAAAUCUUGUAGCUCAUGUGGGCCUUUUGAGCCAAUUCUGAGGUCUGAUUAAGGGACUCAGUAAUUGGAUCCAUGGGCAUUAUGUAGGCCCAGAAAAACGUAAUCGUUUGACUUAGGACUGAAUGGCGUGCGAGAGCUCGGAUUGAUUUCUCGGUUAACUAAGUAUGAUAGUUACAUUAUUAACCUUUAUGGACUUUUGGGACUGUAAUUUAUUUUUAAACUUUAUUUUUGGUUUUUGUUUUGUUCGUCGAUUUUUGGGUUUUUUUAAUGUAAAACCA